RNAcentral lists this long non-coding RNA (983 nucleotides) under Oryctolagus cuniculus (rabbit). RNAcentral's name for it is "lncRNA (ENSOCUG00000037807.1)". Lineage: Eukaryota; Metazoa; Chordata; Mammalia; Lagomorpha; Leporidae. The record is from RNAcentral.
CUGGUACUUUAACCAGGCACUAUGUUAUGGGAUGUGAGUGUCCCACACAGUGACUUAACUGUUGAACCAGAUGCCUGUCCCAUAAUCAAAAGGCUUUACACUCCAACAGGAAUAUUACAUGUGUACCUACUCUGUAGAAGGUAUUAGAUAGUUAGAGUAUAUUUCUAUAUCCUGUAUUCUGUUAUCAAACUGUCCCCACUUUAAGGAUGAGACAUCUGUAGAUCAGAAACAUAAAUUUUCUAAGGUCAUCUACCUACUAACUGGUGAACUGCUUAAAUAGUCUUUAUUGAUAUUGUCCAGCUAACUAGGAAAAUCUGAAAUCAUUCAGUCAGAAUAACUAUACUAAAGCACACUGUCAUUUGGGGUGCUCAGAACACAAAGCUAACAAGUAUUAGCACCAAAAAAAUUAGUUCUAACACAUUCUAAUUGUUUCUGUUACUGCUUUGGAAGCUGUGAAUAUUAAUCCCCUUUUAUUCUUUCAGUUCACUUAUGCUCAUGAUGAAUAUUUCGUUUGAACACUGGAUUCCAUGGAAGAGAAGUCUGAAAACCACUGAUCUCAUCUGAUACUUCCAUGAUUGAGAACACGGCUGGAACUGAGAAGCUGUUGGGGACUGGUGAGGAAGAACAUGGCAUCUACCACCAGGUCAAACAUCUACGAGGUAGGAUGAGACACGGAUUAGUUUUCUUUACUCAGAAAAGUUCAAAACAUGUUUCAGACUUUCUUGGCUUGGUGAAAUACCAAAUGAGGUUUCCUUAAAAGGAGAAAACAGGUAAGUUUAGAUGUAAUUCUAGGUAAAAUUGGCCCAUAUAUGAUUGAUAUUAUAAAAAAUAUGUACAUUGCAUUUAGGUUACAUAAGCAAAGGACUCUAUGAACUUUGUAAAUGUAGACCUACUUUAUUUUUAGACAGGAGUAAUUUUUUCACAGGAAUUAUAUUUUCUCAUGUGUAAAUAAAUUCAGUGUUGAAAAUCUUAAUUCUUUGUGA